UCCAAAUUUUGUUGAGAAAAGGCAAACAUUUCUUCCUCUCUUUCUAGUCUAAAUGACUGUGGCAUUACAGAUGUUGCACAUUUAACCCAGUCGUUGGCCAAGACAAAAGCAUUGACGUUUUUAAAAGAACUUGAUCUGAGUAACAAUAACAUCGGAUACUCGAAAAAGCAGCUCACUGACGUGCUACAAGACUCAAACUGUAGUCUGAGCCUGGAGAAAGAACCCUGGCUCAGCUGGAGCACUGCAAAUAUCAUUAAUAGUAUUGGUGGAUGGUUAACUCGUUCUAAAGCUCAAGAGAAACCUGUGAAAUCAACAGAACAAGAAAAGUGACCAACAGAUGAGGAAUCCUCAGAAGGUUCUCACUAUAGUACUGUUAUAAAUGCAGCUCCAGAGGAACCUGUGAAAUCAACAGAACAAGAAAAGUCACCAACAGAUGAGGAAUCCUCAGAAGGUUCUCACUAUAGUACUGUUAUACAUGCAUAUGUGUGAUUGUAAUUUUGGUGAGAUAUUGCUAAACAGCAAGCAAUAAAUACAAACACUGGCAAACUUACAGCUACUACAGCUUAAAAUAGCACUGCUUUAACAAAUCUAAAGUUAUUAUAGCUCUUAUACAUUACUAUUUAAAAAUUAUUACUAAUGCAUACAGGUGGUAAAGGAUUAGACCUUCAAAUUAAAUAAUGCAGCAUUAAUAGAAACACAUGUACAUGAGUAAUGUUGAGUGAUUAUGUUGGUUUUGUAUUUAUCUGAAUGGUAUUUUAAAUUUUUUUACAGGUGAAACAGAGAAGGGAGAUGAGGCUAGUGAGUGCUCAAAUGUGGUGGAUUGGCUGGAUAUAAGUCCAUAAGAUAAGGCCUUCAUCAUAAUGAUGCUUGGAUUAAACUCGUCCAUAAUGAAACAAUUACAAUAUUGCUAAUCAUGACCGUGAUUGUAAUUUAGCACUUAAAUAUAUCAAAUGAUAUAAACUGAAAGUGUAAAAUUAAAAUAUUGUGGGCUACAUGUGCACAGAUUCAAAUCAGUAGUAUGCACUGAUCUACACUGAAAAAAGGUCUUUUGAAUUUACUUAAUUUUAUUGUGUACAUCAGUCCCACAUGAUCAGAAUGUUGUCAACUGACAUAAUUGUCUUCUUUUUCUCAACUUGAUUUUUUAAUGAUAAUAUUAAGGUAUUAAGCAACCUAACUUGCUUUAAGUAAACUCCAUCCAAAUGUAC
Molecule: long non-coding RNA, 1205 nt
Filed under: Sinocyclocheilus anshuiensis
Lineage: Eukaryota; Metazoa; Chordata; Actinopteri; Cypriniformes; Cyprinidae
Description: lncRNA (ENSSANG00000012974.1)
Source: RNAcentral